AGAGAGAGACAUGCGCGCAUAUCAAUAAGCGGAGGAAAAGAAACUAACAAGGAUUCCCUUAGUAACGGCGAGUGAAGCGGGAAGAGCUCAAAUUUGAAAUCUUCAAGGUUUUACCUUGACGAAUUGUAGUUUAGAGAAGUGUUUUCUGCUGAAGUUUUGGUAAAAGUUCUUUGGAAUAGGACAUCAUAGAGGGUGAGAAUCCCGUAUUUGACCAUUAUUUUCAGCUUUGUGAUACACUUUCAAAGAGUCGGAUUGUUUGGGAAUGCAGUCCAAAAUGGGUGGUAAAUUUCAUCUAAAGCUAAAUAUUGGCGAGAGACCGAUAGCGAACAAGUACCGUGAGGGAAAGAUGAAAAGAACUUUGAAAAGAGAGUUAAACAGUACGUGAAAUUGUCAAAAGGGAAGCGUUUGACACCAGUGUUGUUUUCUCGAAAAUCAAUUAAAAAUGGCUCGAUUUUGUAUUGCUUGAGACCUUAAAAGCUCACUGUACAUUUUUCGUGUCUUUUUUAAUGCACUUUUCGUUUAACAAGUCAACAUCAGUUUCUUUUGUUGUAAAAGGGUCAUUGGAAGGUGGCUUUCUUUUCGGAGAAAGUGUUUAUAGCCUUUGGCCUCUGCAAUCGGAGAGACUGAGGUCUGCAGCGUAGACUCUUCGGGGUUAGAUACAUUUGUGCUAAGUUAUAGCUUUUUAUAGACAACUUGUUGACUAUAAUUAGUCUUGUAGCUUACUCGCUUAUGCUAUUUUACCUACGCUUAGGAUGUUGAAGAUGUAGCACAUCAU
This 775-nucleotide ribosomal RNA is filed under the name uncultured Neocallimastigales. RNAcentral describes it as "partial large subunit ribosomal RNA". It matches the Rfam family "Eukaryotic large subunit ribosomal RNA", at positions 23 to 620 of the family's 3401-position model. Lineage: Eukaryota; Fungi; Neocallimastigomycota; Neocallimastigomycetes; Neocallimastigales. The record is from RNAcentral.